Gorilla gorilla gorilla (western lowland gorilla) is the source of this 102-nucleotide unclassified non-coding RNA. It matches the Rfam family "Y RNA". Rfam says of the family: Y RNAs are components of the Ro ribonucleoprotein particle (Ro RNP), in association with Ro60 and La proteins. The Y RNAs and Ro60 and La proteins are well conserved, but the function of the Ro RNP is not known. The record is from Ensembl. NCBI's taxonomy places the organism in Eukaryota, Metazoa, Chordata, Mammalia, Primates, Hominidae.
GGCUGAUCUGAGUACAGUGGUGUUUACAACUAACUGAUCACAACCAAUUAUGAAUUUCUUUGUUCCUUUUCCACUCACACUGCUUCACUUGACUAGCUUUAA